This 1533-nucleotide ribosomal RNA is filed under the name uncultured Parabacteroides sp. RNAcentral describes it as "bacterial SSU rRNA". It matches the Rfam family "Bacterial small subunit ribosomal RNA". Lineage: Bacteria; Pseudomonadati; Bacteroidota; Bacteroidia; Bacteroidales; Tannerellaceae. The record is from RNAcentral.
AGAGUUUGAUCCUGGCUCAGAUUGAACGCUGGCGGCAGGCCUAACACAUGCAAGUCGAACGGUAACAGGAAGCAGCUUGCUGCUUCGCUGACGAGUGGCGGACGGGUGAGUAAUGUCUGGGAAGCUGCCUGAUGGAGGGGGAUAACUACUGGAAACGGUAGCUAAUACCGCAUAAUGUCGCAAGACCAAAGAGGGGGACCUUCGGGCCUCUUGCCAUCGGAUGUGCCCAGAUGGGAUUAGCUUGUUGGUGGGGUAACGGCUCACCAAGGCGACGAUCCCUAGCUGGUCUGAGAGGAUGACCAGCCACACUGGAACUGAGACACGGUCCAGACUCCUACGGGAGGCAGCAGUGGGGAAUAUUGCACAAUGGGCGCAAGCCUGAUGCAGCCAUGCCGCGUGUAUGAAGAAGGCCUUCGGGUUGUAAAGUACUUUCAGCGGGGAGGAAGGGAGUAAAGUUAAUACCUUUGGCUCAGCGAACGGUACCCGCAGAAGAAGCACCCGACUAACUCCGUGCCAGCAGCCGCGGUAAUACCGAGGGUGCAAGCGUUAAUCGGAAUUACUGGGCGUAAAGCGCACGCAGGGCCGGGUUUUGUUUAAAGUCAGAUGUGAAAUCCCCGGGGCUCAAACCUGGGAAACUGCAUCUGAUACUGGCAAGCUUUGAGUCUCGUAGAGGGGGGGGUAGAAUUCCAGGUGUAGCGGUGAAAUGCGUAGAGAUCUGGAGGAAUACCGGUGGCGAAGGCGGCCCCCUGGACGAAGACUGACGCUCAGGUGCGAAAGCGUGGGGAGCAAACAGGAUUAGAUACCCUGGUAGUCCACGCCGUAAACGAUGUCGACUUGGAGGUUGUGCCCUUGAGGCGUGGCUUCCGGAGCUAACGCGUUAAGUCGACCGCCUGGGGGAGUACGGCCGCAAGGUUAAAACUCAAAUGAAAUUGACGGGGGCCCGCACAAAGCGGGUGGGAGCAUGGUGGUUUAAUUUCGAUGCAACGCGAAAGAACAUAACCUGGUCUUGACAUCCACGGAAGUUUUCAGAGAUGAGAAUGGUGCCUCCGGCAACCGUGAGACAGGUGCUGCAUGGCCUGUCGUCAGCUCGUGUUGUGAAAUGUUUGGAUUUAAGGUCCCGCAACGAGCGCAACCCUUAUCCUUUGUUGCCAGCGGUCCGGCCGGGAACUCAAAGGAGACUGCCAGUGAUAAACUGGAGGAAGGUGGGGAUGACGUCAAGUCAUCAUGGCCCUUACGACCAGGGCUACACACGUGCUACAAUGGCGCAUACAAAGAGAAGCGACCUCGCGAGAGCAAGCGGACCUCAUAAAGUGCGUCGUAGUCCGGAUUGGAGUCUGCAACUCGACUCCAUGAAGUCGGAAUCGCUAGUAAUCGUGGAUCAGAAUGCCACGGUGAAUACGUUCCCGGGCCUUGUACACACCGCCCGUCACACCAUGGGAGUGGGUUGCAAAAGAAGUAGGUAGCUUAACCUUCGGGAGGGCGCUUACCACUUUGUGAUUCAUGACUGGGGUGAAGUCGUAACAAGGUAGCCGU